RNAcentral lists this ribosomal RNA (1006 nucleotides) under bacterium. RNAcentral describes it as "bacterial SSU rRNA". It matches the Rfam family "Bacterial small subunit ribosomal RNA", at positions 62 to 1070 of the family's 1533-position model. The record is from RNAcentral.
UCGAACGAUACUCUUUAGCUUGCUAUAGAGGAAAGUGGCGCACGGGUGCGUAACGCGUAUGCAACCUACCUUAAUCAGGGGGAUAGCCCGAAGAAAUUCGGAUUAACACCGCAUAAAAACACAGGAUAGCAUUAUCCAAUGUUCAAAUAUUUAUAGGAUUAAGAUGGGCAUGCGUGUCAUUAGCUAGUUGGCGGGGUAACGGCCCACCAAGGCGACGAUGACUAGGGGAUCUGAGAGGAUGACCCCCCACACUGGUACUGAGACACGGACCAGACUCCUACGGGAGGCAGCAGUAAGGAAUAUUGGUCAAUGGAGGCAACUCUGAACCAGCCAUGCCGCGUGCAGGAAGACAGCCCUCUGGGUCGUAAACUGCUUUUAUUCGGGAAUAAACCUAUUUACGUGUAAAUAGCUGAAUGUACCGAAGGAAUAAGGAUCGGCUAACUCCGUGCCAGCAGCCGCGGUAAUACGGAGGAUCCAAGCGUUAUCCGGAUUUAUUGGGUUUAAAGGGUGCGUAGGCGGCUUAUUAAGUCAGGGGUGAAAGACGGUGGCUCAACCAUCGCAGUGCCCUUGAUACUGAUGAGCUUGAAUACACUAGAGGUAGGCGGAAUGUGACAAGUAGCGGUGAAAUGCAUAGAUAUGUCACAGAACACCGAUUGCGAAGGCAGCUUACUAUGGUGUGAUUGACGCUGAGGCACGAAAGCGUGGGGAUCAAACAGGAUUAGAUACCCUGGUAGUCCACGCCCUAAACGAUGAAUACUCGCUGUUAGCGAUAUACAGUUAGCGGCUAAGCGAAAGCGUUAAGUAUUCCACCUGGGGAGUACGCCCGCAAGGGUGAAACUCAAAGGAAUUGACGGGGGCCCGCACAAGCGGAGGAGCAUGUGGUUUAAUUCGAUGAUACGCGAGGAACCUUACCCGGGCUUGAAAGUUAGUGAAUUAUCUAGAGAUAGAUAAGUGAGCAAUCACACGAAACUAGGUGCUGCAUGGCUGUCGUCAGCUCGUGCCGUGA